CAACCAAGUUUGUUCAUGCGAGCAUGUUAUCGUAUACUUGUCACAUAUUUGCUGUUCAAUUCCUAGUGCAAGUGGCAAAAGGGCUUGAUGGUUGAUACCCGAGACCCAAGUUCGAAUUCUAAUUGAUUCACAUUUUUCAGCUAAGUUUAUUUCUAAAUGAAAUAAACGAAGCGGGUAGCAUGCUACCUUUUUCUCAAAAAAAAGAGAAAAAUAGUGCUUACAUUGGGAGAUAAAAAAAAUAAAGUGAUAU
Molecule: long non-coding RNA, 250 nt
Filed under: Ananas comosus (pineapple)
Lineage: Eukaryota; Viridiplantae; Streptophyta; Magnoliopsida; Poales; Bromeliaceae
Description: long non-coding RNA (ACOM_LNC028664)
Source: RNAcentral